Rhododendron vialii is the source of this 1751-nucleotide RNA transcript. RefSeq lists it as uncharacterized. The transcript has 3 exons. The record is from RefSeq and is a predicted model, not a curated record. NCBI's taxonomy places the organism in Eukaryota, Viridiplantae, Streptophyta, Magnoliopsida, Ericales, Ericaceae.
CCUGUUAGCUCGAGUGGAGAAACAGCUGAACCACUCCUCCUUUUUUAACACCCAAAACAAACGCUAAUUCCAUACCCCUAUCUCUCUCUCUCUCUCUCUCCCCAGAACUCCCCGCCUUACCAAUAAAUAAUGUCAAGAGAAACCCAGACAAUCGAGACUGCCGAUGGAAUCAAACUCGACGCCAGGAUCUUCAGACCACCAACACAAGCGGAAAACCCAAACCCAGAACCUGAAUCAGAAGAGGAAGGCUCUUUUGCAAUCGUGCUGGUCCAUCCCUACUCGGUGCUGGGCGGAUGCCAAGGCCUGAUGAAGGGCAUCGCACUUGGACUCGCCCGCAGAGGAUUCCACGCCGUUACCUUCGACAUGAGGGGCGUCGGUAAGUCCUCUGGUAGGCCUUCUCUCACCGGAUCCUCUGAAGUGCGCGACGUCAUUUCUGUGUGCAAAUGGGUCGCCCAGAAUUUCAGCGUGAGACGAAUUUUGUUGGUGGGUUCCUCUGCAGGUGCUCCAAUUGCUGGCUCAGCAGUCGACCAGUUAGACGAAGUCGUGGGUUAUGUGAGUUUGGGUUAUCCUUUUGGUCUCACUGCCUCCAUUCUCUUUGGAGGACAUCACAAAGCCAUUCUACAAUCUCCUAAACCAAAACUUUUUGUUAUGGGUACCCGAGAUGGAUUCACUAGCGUUAAACAAUUGCAAAACAAAUUGAAAUCUGCCGCAGGUCGUGUUGAAACUCAUCUAAUCGAAGGAGUAAGCCAUUUCCAAAUGGAAGGACCAGAUUACGAUGCUCAGAUGGUCGAUUUGAUUGUUCGAUUCAUUAGGUCAUUGUCCAAUUUGGCUAGCCCAGUUGCUCUUGAUCAGCUUGCUGAUGAAUGAACAAUUGCAUAAGUCCUAGGUGUUGAACUUUGUACUUGGCACAAGAGAUGGUGACAUUUGAUAAACCUCAUCUGGUAAAGUUCCUCCAACGGAAGGUGGGUCUCAAGUGGAUGGAGACACGAGUCCUGCUUUGUCCAAGUGUCUAAUCAAGAGUGUUUAAGAUCAAGUGUGUCAUGUUGAUCUCGGGUGUGGGGAUGUAUGUAGCUCGGAGAUGGGAGCUAUCGAAAUGUGAUUUCAUUCAAUCGUGGUAGCAAAUCAACCAAAAAGGAGACAACGAAGCACAACUCCAGGACUACAGCAUAUGAAGGAAUGUUGAACAGCUUUAUAGCAAUGACUGUCCUUCCAAGUGGGGCAUGAAGACAUUCAGAUUAGCUACAUACAAAGAUAAAAAGUAAAUAAAUAGUCAUCACAUCAUCGUUUGCUAUGCUAUCGCAGCUCCUAAACAAUCACAUCUAUUCAACUCCGCCUUGAACUCAGGACUGAAUUUCAGUGUAGUGCAUGCUUCUCCAUCCUCCAUUCCUUGAUUGUCCAUGUGAAAUUUGCGGCUCCCCAUCUGAAUUUGAAACAAAGCAAAAGAGAAAGGGAAAUGGGAAAAAACAAACUAAACUUUAAUUAUAAUUGCUCGAAUCAAGAGCAUCAAGAUCACAUUCUCAGAAAGGUAUAAAGCAAUGGUAUCAAGUUCCAUGGUAUGUAAUUACAGAAACAAGAAGUUUUUUUCAUUUGACGACAGAUGGACAGAUUAUGAGCCUGUUUCUGCAAAAAGUAAUCUCAUUUACAAUUGUAAUACUCCACUUGACAAGAAAAGAACAGCUAAGGUGAAAAGAAAAAUAAAGGUUCCUCAAAAUGUUAUUUUUAUCAUCACCAGUAAACUUCUUUCCCAACAG